RNAcentral lists this ribosomal RNA (383 nucleotides) under uncultured bacterium. Its description in RNAcentral is "bacterial SSU rRNA". It matches the Rfam family "Bacterial small subunit ribosomal RNA", at positions 30 to 418 of the family's 1533-position model. The record is from RNAcentral.
AUUGAACGCUGGCGGAAUGCUUUACACAUGCAAGUCGAACGGUAGAGGGGGCAACCCCUUGAGAGUGGCGAACGGGUGAGUAAUAUAUCGGAACGUGCCCAGUCGUGGGGAUAACGUAGCGAAAGUUACGCUAAUACCGCAUACGAUCUAAGGAUGAAAGCGGGGGAUCGCAAGACCCCGCGCGAUUGGAGCGGCCGAUAUCAGAUUAGGUAGUUGGUGAGGUAAAGGCUCACCAAGCCAACGAUCUGUAGCUGGUCUGAGAGGACGACCAGCCACACUGGAACUGAGACACGGUCCAGACUCCUACGGGAGGCAGCAGUGGGGAAUUUUGGACAAUGGACGCAAGUCUGAUCCAGCAAUGCCGCGUGCAGGAUGAAGGCCUU